This 253-nucleotide ribosomal RNA is filed under the name uncultured bacterium. Its description in RNAcentral is "partial 16S ribosomal RNA". It matches the Rfam family "Bacterial small subunit ribosomal RNA", at positions 524 to 776 of the family's 1533-position model. The record is from RNAcentral.
UACGGGGGGGGCAAGCGUUGUUCGGAAUUACUGGGCGUAAAGGGCUCGUAGGUGGCCAACUAAGUCAGACGUGAAAUCCCUCGGCUUAACCGGGGAACUGCGUCUGAUACUGGAUGGCUUGAGUUUGGGAGAGGGACGCGGAAUUCCAGGUGUAGCGGUGAAAUGCGUAGAUAUCUGCAGGAACACCCGUGGCGAAAGCGGCGCGCUGGACCACUACUGACGCUGAGGAACGAAAGCUAGGGGAGCAAACAGG